Molecule: ribosomal RNA, 1437 nt
Filed under: Escherichia coli
Lineage: Bacteria; Pseudomonadati; Pseudomonadota; Gammaproteobacteria; Enterobacterales; Enterobacteriaceae
Description: bacterial LSU rRNA
Rfam family: Bacterial large subunit ribosomal RNA
Source: RNAcentral
UUUCCAGGCAAAUCCGGAAAAUCAAGGCUGAGGCGUGAUGACGAGGCACUGCGGUGCUGAAGCAACAAAUGCCCUGCUUCCAGGAAAAGCCUCUAAGCAUCAGGUAACAUCAAAUCGUACCCCAAACCGACACAGGUGGUCAGGUAGAGAAUACCAAGGCGCUUGAGAGAACUCGGGUGAAGGAACUAGGCAAAAUGGUGCCGUAACUUCGGGAGAAGGCACGCUGAUAUGUAGGUGAAGUCCCUCGCGGAUGGAGCUGAAAUCAGUCGAAGAUACCAGCUGGCUGCAACUGUUUAUUAAAAACACAGCACUGUGCAAACACGAAAGUGGACGUAUACGGUGUGACGCCUGCCCGGUGCCGGAAGGUUAAUUGAUGGGGUUAGCGCAAGCGAAGCUCUUGAUCGAAGCCCCGGUAAACGGCGGCCGUAACUAUAACGGUCCUAAGGUAGCGAAAUUCCUUGUCGGGUAAGUUCCGACCUGCACGAAUGGCGUAAUGAUGGCCAGGCUGUCUCCACCCGAGACUCAGUGAAAUUGAACUCGCUGUGAAGAUGCAGUGUACCCGCGGCAAGACGGAAAGACCCCGUGAACCUUUACUAUAGCUUGACACUGAACAUUGAGCCUUGAUGUGUAGGAUAGGUGGGAGGCUUUGAAGUGUGGACGCCAGUCUGCAUGGAGCCGACCUUGAAAUACCACCCUUUAAUGUUUGAUGUUCUAACGUUGACCCGUAAUCCGGGUUGCGGACAGUGUCUGGUGGGUAGUUUGACUGGGGCGGUCUCCUCCUAAAGAGUAACGGAGGAGCACGAAGGUUGGCUAAUCCUGGUCGGACAUCAGGAGGUUAGUGCAAUGGCAUAAGCCAGCUUGACUGCGAGCGUGACGGCGCGAGCAGGUGCGAAAGCAGGUCAUAGUGAUCCGGUGGUUCUGAAUGGAAGGGCCAUCGCUCAACGGAUAAAAGGUACUCCGGGGAUAACAGGCUGAUACCGCCCAAGAGUUCAUAUCGACGGCGGUGUUUGGCACCUCGAUGUCGGCUCAUCACAUCCUGGGGCUGAAGUAGGUCCCAAGGGUAUGGCUGUUCGCCAUUUAAAGUGGUACGCGAGCUGGGUUUAGAACGUCGUGAGACAGUUCGGUCCCUAUCUGCCGUGGGCGCUGGAGAACUGAGGGGGGCUGCUCCUAGUACGAGAGGACCGGAGUGGACGCAUCACUGGUGUUCGGGUUGUCAUGCCAAUGGCACUGCCCGGUAGCUAAAUGCGGAAGAGAUAAGUGCUGAAAGCAUCUAAGCACGAAACUUGCCCCGAGAUGAGUUCUCCCUGACUCCUUGAGAGUCCUGAAGGAACGUUGAAGACGACGACGUUGAUAGGCCGGGUGUGUAAGCGCAGCGAUGCGUUGAGCUAACCGGUACUAAUGAACCGUGAGGCUUAACCUUACAACGCCGAAGCUGUU